This 449-nucleotide ribosomal RNA is filed under the name uncultured prokaryote. Its description in RNAcentral is "bacterial SSU rRNA". It matches the Rfam family "Bacterial small subunit ribosomal RNA", at positions 355 to 796 of the family's 1533-position model. The record is from RNAcentral.
UAGGGAAUCUUGGUCAAUGGGCGCAAGCCUGAACCAGCCAUGCCGCGUGUGCGAAGAAGGCCCUAGGGUUGUAAAGCACUUUCAGUCGCGAAGAAAUGCUCAAAGUUAAUACCUUUGAGAGUUGACGUUAACGACAGAAGAAGAUCCGGCUAACUCCGUGCCAGCAGCCGCGGUAAUACGGAGGGAUCGAACGUUAAUCGGAAUUACUGGGCGUAAAGCGCGCGUAGGCGGUUUGUUAAGUGGGAUGUGAAAGCCCCGGGCUCAACCUGGGAACUGCAUUCCAAACUGGCAGACUAGAGUAUGGUAGAGGGAGGUAGAAUUUCCUGUGUAGCGGUGAAAUGCGUAGAUAUAGGAAGGAAUACCGAUGGCGAAGGCAGCCUCCUGGACCAAUACUGACGCUGAGGUGCGAAAGCGUGGGGAGCAAACAGGAUUAGAUACCCGGGUAGUCC